UGUUUCGGAGCUCCGUGGAUG
RNAcentral lists this non-coding RNA (21 nucleotides) under Caenorhabditis elegans. Lineage: Eukaryota; Metazoa; Nematoda; Chromadorea; Rhabditida; Rhabditidae. The record is from RNAcentral.